Molecule: ribosomal RNA, 485 nt
Filed under: uncultured bacterium
Lineage: Bacteria
Description: partial 16S ribosomal RNA
Rfam family: Bacterial small subunit ribosomal RNA
Source: RNAcentral
ACUCAAAUGAAUUGACGGGGGCCCGCACAAGCAGCGGAGCGUGUGGUUUAAUUCGAUGCAACGCGAAGAACCUUACCCGGGCUUGACAUGCGCGUGGUACCCGAGGGAAACCGAGGGGACCCGCAAGGGAGCGCGCACAGGUGCUGCACGGCUGUCGUCAGCUCGUGCCGUGAGGUGUUGGGUUAAGUCCCGCAACGAGCGCAACCCCUGCCGUCAGUUACGAAGUCUGGCGGGACCGCCGGGACCAACCCGGAGGAAGGUGGGGACGACGUCAAGUCAGCAUGGCCCUCACGUCCGGGGCCACACACACGCUACAAUGGCCGGGACAACGGGCUGCGAUGGGGCGACCCGGAGCCAAUCCCAGCAAACCCGGCCCCAGUUCGGAUCGGAGGCUGCAACCCGCCUCCGUGAAGUCGGAGUUGCUAGUAACCGCCGGUCAGCACACGGCGGUGAAUGCGUUCCCGGGCCUUGUACACACCGCCCGU